This 68-nucleotide transfer RNA is filed under the name Ovis aries (sheep). It matches the Rfam family "tRNA". From Rfam's summary of the family: Transfer RNA (tRNA) molecules are approximately 80 nucleotides in length. Their secondary structure includes four short double-helical elements and three loops (D, anti-codon, and T loops). The record is from Rfam by way of RNAcentral. Lineage: Eukaryota; Metazoa; Chordata; Mammalia; Artiodactyla; Bovidae.
UCCCUGAUAGCUCAGUAAAGAAUCUGCUUGAAAUGCAGGAGACCCUGGUUCGAUUCCUGGGUUGGGAA